Molecule: non-coding RNA, 30 nt
Filed under: Rattus norvegicus (Norway rat)
Lineage: Eukaryota; Metazoa; Chordata; Mammalia; Rodentia; Muridae
Source: RNAcentral
UCUAUCUAGUUUUGACAGACCUAAGUGUGA